Molecule: ribosomal RNA, 253 nt
Filed under: uncultured bacterium
Lineage: Bacteria
Description: partial 16S ribosomal RNA
Rfam family: Bacterial small subunit ribosomal RNA
Source: RNAcentral
UACGGAAGGGGCUAGCGUUGUUCGGAAUUACAGGGCGUAAAGAGCGCGUAGGCGGCUUACCAAGUUGGGGGUGAAAUCCCGGAGCUCAACUCCGGAACUGCCUUCAAAACUGGUAGGCUCGAGUCCGGAAGAGGGGCGUGGAAUUCCCAGUGUAGAGGUGAAAUUCGUAGAUAUUGGGAAGAGCACCGGUGGCGAAGGCGGCGCCCUGGUCCGGUACUGACGCUGAGGAGCGAAAGCGUGGGGAGCAAACAGG